UCUGAAGCAAACCAUUCUCUCUUCUGAUCACUUCCACUCUGUUGCAGCUGCUGGAACCCGGAACCAGGAGAGGAACUUCUCCUCAAGCUGAGCCAUCUCCCCUUCCGCCCCUUAGGUUGAGGACUUGAGGUGCCCUUGUGUUAGAGCCUUGCUUGUGGUGUUUUUUUUAAGAGCCUAGCCCAGAUGAUGAUGCCCCCCUUCAGAGCAGGAACUGACCUCUCUUACUUAUAGCUGUAGUAGUUUUGAACCAGGUUUUUGAGGAGUCUUAGUUUGGCAAGU
Molecule: long non-coding RNA, 279 nt
Organism: Vigna unguiculata (cowpea)
Lineage: Eukaryota; Viridiplantae; Streptophyta; Magnoliopsida; Fabales; Fabaceae
Source: RefSeq, a predicted model, not a curated record